CGACCGUCUCAGUUCGGAUCGCAGGCUGCAACCCGCCUGCGUGAAGUCGGAAUCGCUAGUAAUCGCGGAUCAGCAUGCCGCGGUGAAUACGUCCCCGGGCCUUGUACACACCGCCCGUCACACCAUGAGAGUCGGGAACACCCGAAGUCCGUAGCCUAACUAGCAAUAGAGGGCGCGGCCGAAGGUGGGUUCGAUAAUUGGGGUGAAGUCGUAACAAGGUAGC
This 223-nucleotide ribosomal RNA is filed under the name uncultured bacterium. RNAcentral describes it as "partial 16S ribosomal RNA". It matches the Rfam family "Bacterial small subunit ribosomal RNA", at positions 1280 to 1500 of the family's 1533-position model. The record is from RNAcentral.